ACGGCUCAGUAACACGUGGAUAGCCUGCCCNUNGGGUCCGGCAUAACCCCGGGAAACUGGGGAUAAUUCCGGAUAACGCACAUAUGCUGGAAUGCUUUAUGCGUAAAAUGGAUUCGUCUGCCCAAGGAUGGGUCUGCGGCCUAUCAGGUAGUAGUGGGUGUAAUGUACCUACUAGCCAACAACGGGUACGGGUUGUGAGAGCAAGAGCCCGGAGAUGGAUUCUGAGACAUGAAUCCAGGCCCUACGGGGCGCAGCAGGCGCGAAAACUUUACAAUGCGGGAAACCGUGAUAAGGGGACACCGAGUGCCAGCAUCAUAUGCUGGCUGUCCAGGUGUGUAAAAUACACCUGUCAGCAAGGGCCGGGCAAGACCGGUGCCAGCCGCCGCGGUAACACCGGCGGCCCGAGUGGUGAUCGUGAUUAUUGGGUCUAAAGGGUCCGUAGCCGGUUUGGUCAGUCCUCCGGGAAAUCUGACGGCUCAACCGUUAGGCUUUCGGGGGAUACUGCCAGGCUUGGAACCGGGAGAGGUAAGAGGUACUACAGGGGUAGGAGUGAAAUCUUGUAAUCCCUGUGAGACCACCUGUGGCGAAGGCGUCUUACCAGAACGGGUUCGACGGUGAGGGACGAAAGCUGGGGGCACGAACCGGAUUAGAUACCCGGGUAGUCCCAGCCGUAAACGAUGCUCGCUAGGUGUCAGGCAUGGCGCGACCGUGUCUGGUGCCGCAGGGAAGCCGUGAAGCGAGCCACCUGGGAAGUACGGCCGCAAGGCUGAAACUUAAAGGAAUUGGCGGGGGAGCAC
This 797-nucleotide ribosomal RNA is filed under the name uncultured archaeon. RNAcentral describes it as "bacterial SSU rRNA". It matches the Rfam family "Archaeal small subunit ribosomal RNA", at positions 85 to 879 of the family's 1478-position model. The record is from RNAcentral.